Molecule: ribosomal RNA, 1487 nt
Filed under: Kocuria sp. S26-8
Lineage: Bacteria; Bacillati; Actinomycetota; Actinomycetes; Micrococcales; Micrococcaceae
Also listed under: 2 other names
Description: bacterial SSU rRNA
Rfam family: Bacterial small subunit ribosomal RNA
Source: RNAcentral
AGAGUUUGAUCCUGGCUCAGGACGAACGCUGGCGGCGUGCUUAACACAUGCAAGUCGAACGAUGAUGCCCAGCUUGCUGGGCGGAUUAGUGGCGAACGGGUGAGUAAUACGUGAGUAACCUGCCCUUGACUCUGGGAUAAGCCUGGGAAACUGGGUCUAAUACUGGAUACUACCUCUUGCCGCAUGGUGGGUGGUGGAAAGGGUUUUACUGGUUUUGGAUGGGCUCACGGCCUAUCAGCUUGUUGGUGGGGUAAUGGCUCACCAAGGCGACGACGGGUAGCCGGCCUGAGAGGGUGACCGGCCACACUGGGACUGAGACACGGCCCAGACUCCUACGGGAGGCAGCAGUGGGGAAUAUUGCACAAUGGGCGGAAGCCUGAUGCAGCGACGCCGCGUGAGGGAUGACGGCCUUCGGGUUGUAAACCUCUUUCAGUAGGGAAGAAGCGAGAGUGACGGUACCUGCAGAAGAAGCGCCGGCUAACUACGUGCCAGCAGCCGCGGUAAUACGUAGGGCGCAAGCGUUGUCCGGAAUUAUUGGGCGUAAAGAGCUCGUAGGCGGUUUGUCGCGUCUGCUGUGAAAGCCCGGGGCUCAACCCCGGGUCUGCAGUGGGUACGGGCAGACUAGAGUGCAGUAGGGGAGACUGGAAUUCCUGGUGUAGCGGUGAAAUGCGCAGAUAUCAGGAGGAACACCGAUGGCGAAGGCAGGUCUCUGGGCUGUUACUGACGCUGAGGAGCGAAAGCAUGGGGAGCGAACAGGAUUAGAUACCCUGGUAGUCCAUGCCGUAAACGUUGGGCACUAGGUGUGGGGGACAUUCCACGUUUUCCGCGCCGUAGCUAACGCAUUAAGUGCCCCGCCUGGGGAGUACGGCCGCAAGGCUAAAACUCAAAGGAAUUGACGGGGGCCCGCACAAGCGGCGGAGCAUGCGGAUUAAUUCGAUGCAACGCGAAGAACCUUACCAAGGCUUGACAUUCACCGGACCGCCCCAGAGAUGGGGUUUCCCUUCGGGGCUGGUGGACAGGUGGUGCAUGGUUGUCGUCAGCUCGUGUCGUGAGAUGUUGGGUUAAGUCCCGCAACGAGCGCAACCCUCGUUCUAUGUUGCCAGCACGUGAUGGUGGGGACUCAUAGGAGACUGCCGGGGUCAACUCGGAGGAAGGUGGGGAUGACGUCAAAUCAUCAUGCCCCUUAUGUCUUGGGCUUCACGCAUGCUACAAUGGCCGGUACAAAGGGUUGCGAUACUGUGAGGUGGAGCUAAUCCCAAAAAGCCGGUCUCAGUUCGGAUUGAGGUCUGCAACUCGACCUCAUGAAGUCGGAGUCGCUAGUAAUCGCAGAUCAGCAACGCUGCGGUGAAUACGUUCCCGGGCCUUGUACACACCGCCCGUCAAGUCACGAAAGUUGGUAACACCCGAAGCCGGUGGCCUAACCCCUUGUGGGAGGGAGCCGUCGAAGGUGGGACUGGCGAUUGGGACUAAGUCGUAACAAGGUAACC